This 87-nucleotide transfer RNA is filed under the name Salegentibacter echinorum. RNAcentral describes it as "Salegentibacter sp. HD4 tRNA". It matches the Rfam family "tRNA". From Rfam's summary of the family: Transfer RNA (tRNA) molecules are approximately 80 nucleotides in length. Their secondary structure includes four short double-helical elements and three loops (D, anti-codon, and T loops). The record is from Rfam by way of RNAcentral. Lineage: Bacteria; Pseudomonadati; Bacteroidota; Flavobacteriia; Flavobacteriales; Flavobacteriaceae.
AGAGAGGUGGCCGAGCGGUCGAAGGCGCACGCCUGGAAAGCGUGUAUACGUUUAAGCGUAUCGAGGGUUCGAAUCCCUUCCUCUCUG